AUUUUUCAAUUAUUAUUUCACUUGGCAUGGCAAACUUAGAAAAUUCAUAAGUUCUUCAAUAUUUGUCCAAAUUUGAUGGGAUUUUUUGUGAAAUGCUCCUCAUGAUCUCUAGUUUAUUAUGGUGAUUUUUCCAGAUUUUUUUUGCACGAGUAGAUUUUAAAAAUGCCUAGGGUUUGUUCAUGUGUAUCCAUUUUGUGUAUGUUUUACCAUUUUGCUUGUGAAAUGAUGAUACUUAAUCCAAUGCCUCUGAAAUUUUUUCUGCUUAAAC
This 268-nucleotide long non-coding RNA is filed under the name Lathyrus oleraceus (garden pea). Its description in RNAcentral is "Pisum sativum (pea) long non-coding RNA (PSAT_LNC041226)". The record is from RNAcentral. Lineage: Eukaryota; Viridiplantae; Streptophyta; Magnoliopsida; Fabales; Fabaceae.